GGGGUAGCCAUGGUAGGGAGCAAAGAGUAAUUCAGGUAACAAGUUCACUGAGUUCAACUUUGGAGGAGAUUUGUGGUCAGAAUCAAACAUACCUGAUUUCAGCAUUCUUCUGAACCCAGUGGAAGCUCAUCUACCAGAUAAUCACCAUCACUCAGCUGGGUCACAAUCUACUAAAAAGGGGGUCAGAGAAGGAAAGACCCAAGGCUAAGGAUUCCGGGGUGAGUUUGGGUGAGUGUGCAUAUUUGUACGUGUGUGUGUGUGACAGAGAAAGAGAGAAAGAGUUUUUGUGUGUGAGUGCCAUUUCAAAACCAAAUAUAAAUUACAUAAAUUUUGAAUUGUACAUCGCUGUGUAUCUCUGGUGUAGUGUGUAGGUGAUCAAGAAUUGACACCACAGUAAGGCCAGCAUUUGAAGUUAGAAGAGGAGCAAAGACCUCCUUUAGAAUCUCCCAACCAGGAUCUAGUGUCGUGCAGUCAGGAGCUUUGGGUUAUUAAAAUGAAAUCAAAA
RNAcentral lists this long non-coding RNA (505 nucleotides) under Equus caballus (horse). Its description in RNAcentral is "lncRNA (ENSECAG00000033289.3)". Lineage: Eukaryota; Metazoa; Chordata; Mammalia; Perissodactyla; Equidae. The record is from RNAcentral.